UUUCCCACUGCUUGGACCUAACUAAAAUGAAUAGCAAAUCUCUAUGGCUGCAUCCUAUUUUUUACACUUUUCUUUGAUUCAAAUAUUUUGUCGUCCUUCUUUGGUGAGUAUUAGAUGACUUAUUAAUGCUUUAUUACAAUUUUUUUGUUCACAGCAACAGCCGAGCAUCUUUCCAUCCUAUAUGUGCAAGGGAGGCAGGGAAUAGGCUAGAAAUCUGGGGAAAACAUGGGUGUGACACUGUUGAACUGCGAGCUUUCUGCUCGAAGCAUUCAGAUAUUCAAGAUAGUGGAAGGCCUAUAAAUGGUGGAAAUAUUAAUGCAGCUGAUCCCCCUGUAUGUCAUCUUCCAACAGAAUCUAUAAGAGCUCGCCUAAUUAAUUAAUGAUGAGACGAGAGUUGAAGUAGGAGCACAAGGGAGGACUGAGAGGAGCACCGAUAAUGAAAAAACUCGAUCCGAGUUUCUUAGUUUUGUACUGAUUCUGAAAAAGUUGAUCAACCUGGGGAAAGUAGAUGUGAAGAAUGUGGCUGCAGAGAUUUGGGGUCAAUCCUGAUGCUUUGAAUGCCAAACUUAUGACCGAACUGGACCACAACCAAACGCAUGGCUCCAUCCUACUGCCACACAGUCAGCUGCAGCGUUUCUGCAUCUCCCUGUCGAGGAUGAGAUAUGGGGAAGGAAUGGUGGUGGUCAAAGAAGUGAUGGAAGAUGUGAUUUGGUUCCGUGGGCCAACAAAUUUGUCACUAUCGCAUCUAUGCACUGCAAACUCCUUAUGUGAAAAGACUAGAAGUGACGCAGCUUCUUAUAUGAGAAGCCUACCAAUUGGCAGCCAAAACCAACAUGGAGGUGUUGUGAGAGGUGGUUACUUAAGGCAAAGGCCAAGCUGGUGAUGGCCAAGGGAAUAAAGGUGGUCCAACUAGAGAUUGUGGUGCCUAAAAUUGGGAUUGAAAAAUGGAAUAAAAAGCUCUGACAUGGUAUUAGGAAGAUCAUGUAGAUAACAAUAGCUGAAGGUUUCUACAGUUGUGGAUCAUCAGAGUCUAGAGUCUGCAACGAGUGUACGAUAGCUGAAGACGGACCGGUUGUUUUCAUAUGCAAGGAAGAUGGGAAUGUUCAAUCUCCAUCAGUAGCUUAACUCUCUUCACAUUCAAGAUGGUGUGGUUACAGUUCUCUGUUAUCUCGACUCUGACUGAGUUGUUAGUUGUUUAUCUAAUGAAUAAGCAAACCAAA
Long non-coding RNA from Brassica oleracea var. oleracea, 1220 nucleotides. RefSeq lists it as uncharacterized. Lineage: Eukaryota; Viridiplantae; Streptophyta; Magnoliopsida; Brassicales; Brassicaceae. The record is from RefSeq and is a predicted model, not a curated record. The transcript is spliced from 7 exons.